GGGAUCAAGGUGUUAGCGGCAGCACACUCGGUUCUUACCCGAGCAAGUGACGGUUCAAGUCCGUCUGGUCCCA
Molecule: transfer RNA, 73 nt
Filed under: Candidatus Woesearchaeota archaeon
Lineage: Archaea; Nanobdellati; Candidatus Woesearchaeota
Also listed under: 1 other name
Description: tRNA-Lys
Rfam family: tRNA
About the family: Transfer RNA (tRNA) molecules are approximately 80 nucleotides in length. Their secondary structure includes four short double-helical elements and three loops (D, anti-codon, and T loops).
Source: RNAcentral